AGAGAGAGACAUGCGCGCAUAUCAAUAAGCGGAGGAAAAGAAACUAACAAGGAUUCCCUUAGUAACGGCGAGUGAAGCGGGAAGAGCUCAAAUUUGAAAUCUUCAAGGUUUUACCUUGACGAAUUGUAGUUUAAAGAAGUGUUUUCUGCUGAAGUUUUGGUAAAAGUUCUUUGGAAUAGGACAUCAUAGAGGGUGAGAAUCCCGUAUUUGACCAUUAUUUUCAGCUUUGUGAUACACUUUCAAAGAGUCGGAUUGUUUGGGAAUGCAGUCCAAAAUGGGUGGUAAAUUUCAUCUAAAGCUAAAUAUUGGCGAGAGACCGAUAGCGAACAAGUACCGUGAGGGAAAGAUGAAAAGAACUUUGAAAAGAGAGUUAAACAGUACGUGAAAUUGUCAAAAGGGAAGCGUUUGACACCAGUGUUGUUUUCUCGAAAAUCAAUUAAAAAAUGCUCGGAUUUUGUAGUUGCUGUAGACCUUAUAAGCUUCACUGUACAUUUUUCUUGUCUUUUUUAAUGCACUUUUCGUUUAACAAGUCAACAUCAAUUUCUUUUGUUGUAAAAGGGUCAUUGGAAGGUGGCUUUCUUUUCGGAGAAAGUGUUUAUAGCCUUUGGCCUCUGCAAUCGAAGAGACUGAGGUCUGCAGCGUAGACUCUUCGGGGUUAGAUACAUUUGUGCUAAGUUAUAGCUUUUUAUAGACAACUUGUUGACUAUAAUUAGUCUUGUAGCUUACUCGCUUAUGCUAUUUUACCUACGCUUAGGAUGUUGAGUCGUAGAGCACGCAG
RNAcentral lists this ribosomal RNA (778 nucleotides) under uncultured Neocallimastigales. RNAcentral describes it as "partial large subunit ribosomal RNA". It matches the Rfam family "Eukaryotic large subunit ribosomal RNA", at positions 23 to 634 of the family's 3401-position model. The record is from RNAcentral. Lineage: Eukaryota; Fungi; Neocallimastigomycota; Neocallimastigomycetes; Neocallimastigales.